This 762-nucleotide ribosomal RNA is filed under the name uncultured bacterium. RNAcentral describes it as "bacterial SSU rRNA". It matches the Rfam family "Bacterial small subunit ribosomal RNA", at positions 771 to 1532 of the family's 1533-position model. The record is from RNAcentral.
AACAGGAUUAGAUACCCUGGUAGUCCACGCCGUAAACGAUGUCGACUUGGAGGCUGUUCCCUUGAGGAGUGGCUUCCGGAGCUAACGCGUUAAGUCGACCGCCUGGGGAGUACGGCCGCAAGGUUAAAACUCAAAUGAAUUGACGGGGGCCCGCACAAGCGGUGGAGCAUGUGGUUUAAUUCGAUGCAACGCGAAGAACCUUACCUACUCUUGACAUCCAGAGAAUUUAGCAGAGAUGCUUUAGUGCCUUCGGGAACUCUGAGACAGGUGCUGCAUGGCUGUCGUCAGCUCGUGUUGUGAAAUGUUGGGUUAAGUCCCGCAACGAGCGCAACCCUUAUCCUUUGUUGCCAGCGCGUAAUGGCGGGAACUCAAAGGAGACUGCCGGUGAUAAACCGGAGGAAGGUGGGGAUGACGUCAAGUCAUCAUGGCCCUUACGAGUAGGGCUACACACGUGCUACAAUGGCGCAUACAAAGAGAAGCGACCUCGCGAGAGCAAGCGGACCUCAUAAAGUGCGUCGUAGUCCGGAUUGGAGUCUGCAACUCGACUCCAUGAAGUCGGAAUCGCUAGUAAUCGUAAAUCAGAAUGUUACGGUGAAUACGUUCCCGGGCCUUGUACACACCGCCCGUCACACCAUGGGAGUGGGUUGCAAAAGAAGUAGAUAGCUUAACCUUCGGGAGGGCGUUUACCACUUUGUGAUUCAUGACUGGGGUGAAGUCGUAACAAGGUAACCGUAGGGGAACCUGCGGCUGGAUCACCUCCUU